CCAAUAGCGUAUAUUAAAGUUGUUGCAGUUAAAAAGCUCGUAGUUGAAUUUCGGGAUUAGUACGCUGGUCGUGCCUUCGGUAUGUACUGGUGUUACUGGUUCCUACCUUCUGACGAACCGUCAUGUCAUUAAUUUGGUGUGGCGGGAAAUCAGGACUGUUACUUUGAAAAAAUUAGAGUGUUUAAAGCAGGCUCGCGCUUGAAUACAUUAGCAUGGAAUAAUGAAAUAGGACGUUCGAUCCUAUUUUGUUGGUUUCUAGGAUUUACGUAAUGAUUAAUAGGGAUAGUUGGGGGCAUUAGUAUUCAAUUGUCAGAGGUGAAAUUCUUGGAUUUAUUGAAGACUAACUACUGCGAAAGCAUUUGCCAAGGAUGUUUUCAUUAAUCAAGAACGAAAGUUAGGGGAUCGAAGACGAUCAGAUACCGUCGUAGUCUUAACCAUAAACUAUGCCGACUAGGGAUCGGAUGAUGUUAUUUUUAAUGACUCAUUCGGCGCCUUACG
This 498-nucleotide unclassified non-coding RNA is filed under the name uncultured Glomus. RNAcentral describes it as "SSU rRNA". It matches the Rfam family "Eukaryotic small subunit ribosomal RNA", at positions 591 to 1092 of the family's 1831-position model. Lineage: Eukaryota; Fungi; Glomeromycota; Glomeromycetes; Glomerales; Glomeraceae. The record is from RNAcentral.